This 253-nucleotide ribosomal RNA is filed under the name uncultured bacterium. RNAcentral describes it as "partial 16S ribosomal RNA". It matches the Rfam family "Bacterial small subunit ribosomal RNA", at positions 524 to 776 of the family's 1533-position model. The record is from RNAcentral.
UACGUAGGGCGCAAGCGUUGUCCGGAAUUAUUGGGCGUAAAGCGCACGUAGGCGGCUUUGCAAGUCCCAUGUGAAAUCCCACGGCUUAACCGUGGAAGUGCAUGGGAAACUGCAGAGCUUGAGUACUUAAGAGGAUCGCGGAAUUCCCGGUGUAGAGGUGAAAUUCGUAGAUAUCGGGAGGAACACCAGUGGCGAAGGCGGCGAUCUGGGAAGAUACUGACGCUGAGGUGCGAAAGCGUGGGGAGCAAACAGG